RNAcentral lists this ribosomal RNA (1108 nucleotides) under Beauveria bassiana. RNAcentral describes it as "SSU rRNA". It matches the Rfam family "Eukaryotic small subunit ribosomal RNA", at positions 74 to 1212 of the family's 1831-position model. Lineage: Eukaryota; Fungi; Ascomycota; Sordariomycetes; Hypocreales; Cordycipitaceae. The record is from RNAcentral.
UUAUACAGCGACUGCGAAUGGCUCAUUAUAUAAGUUAUCGUUUAUUUGAUAGUACCUUACUACUUGGAUAACCGUGGUAAUUCUAGAGCUAAUACAUGCUGAAAAUCCCGACUUCGGAAGGGAGGUAUUUAUUAGAUUAAAAACCAAUGCCCUCUGGGCUCCUUGGUGAUUCAUAAUAACUUUUCGAAUCGCACGGCCUUGCGCCGGCGAUGGUUCAUUCAAAUUUCUUCCCUAUCAACUUUCGAUGUUUGGGUAUUGGCCAAACAUGGUCGCAACGGGUAACGGAGGGUUAGGGCUCGACCCCGGAGAAGGAGCCUGAGAAACGGCUACUACAUCCAAGGAAGGCAGCAGGCGCGCAAAUUACCCAAUCCCGAUUCGGGGAGGUAGUGACAAUAAAUACUGAUACAGGGCUCUUUUGGGUCUUGUAAUUGGAAUGAGUACAAUUUAAAUCUCUUAACGAGGAACAAUUGGAGGGCAAGUCUGGUGCCAGCAGCCGCGGUAAUUCCAGCUCCAAUAGCGUAUAUUAAAGUUGUUGUGGUUAAAAAGCUCGUAGUUGAACCUUGGGCCUGGCUGGCCGGUCCGCCUCACCGCGUGUACUGGUCCGGCCGGGCCUUUCCCUCUGUGGAACCUCAUGCCCUUCACUGGGUGUGGCGGGGAAACAGGACUUUUACUUUGAAAAAAUUAGAGUGCUCCAGGCAGGCCUAUGCUCGAAUACAUUAGCAUGGAAUAAUAAAAUAGGACGCGUGGUUCUAUUUUGUUGGUUUCUAGGACCGCCGUAAUGAUUAAUAGGGACAGUCGGGGGCAUCAGUAUUCAAUUGUCAGAGGUGAAAUUCUUAGAUUUAUUGAAGACUAACUACUGCGAAAGCAUUUGCCAAGGAUGUUUUCAUUAAUCAGGAACGAAAGUUAGGGAUCGAAGACGAUCAGAUACCGUCGUAGUCUUAACCAUAAACUAUGCCGACUAGGGAUCGGACGAUGUAUUUUUGACGCGUUCGGCACCUUUACGAGAAAUCAAAGUGCUUGGCUCCAGGGGGAGUAUGUCGCAGCUGAACUUAAAGAAAUUGACGGAGGCACACAGGGUGGAGCUGCGCUUACGGACUCACACGGGAAA